Molecule: ribosomal RNA, 376 nt
Filed under: uncultured bacterium
Lineage: Bacteria
Description: bacterial SSU rRNA
Rfam family: Bacterial small subunit ribosomal RNA
Source: RNAcentral
CACGUAGGAGGCAAGCGUUAUCCGGAUUUACUGGGCAUAAAGAGCGUGUAGGCGGUUCGACAAGUCGGAUGUGAAAGCUCCUGGCUCAACUGGGAGAUGCUGUUCGAAACUGUCGGGCUAGAGGACGGUAGAGGGAGAUGGAAUUCCCGGUGUAGUAGUGAAAUGCGUAGAUAUCGGGAGGAACGCCAACGGCGAAGGCAGUCUCCUGGGCCGUUCCUGACGCUAAGACGCGAAAGCAUGGGUAGCGAACGGGAUUAGAAACCCCGGUAGUCCAUGCCGUAAACGAUGCGAACUUGACGUUGGUAACGUAAAAGUUAUCGGUGUCGUAGCUAAUGCGAUAAGUUCGCCGCCUGGGGAUUACGACCGCAAGGUUAAA